GCCAUCGAUAGGCUUUUACCUGGGGAGUAACACAGGCAGGGGUGCGUGCAUGUACGUUGCUCUGGCUACAGCUGGAGAGUGAAUGGGAGGAGACAGUAGUGGAAGCACAUAUUUCCCACCCCACAGGCUAGUAUAGCAGUCCAGGUGAAAAAAGAGCCCCCAGGGACAGAUAUGCAGGUUGCUCACUGUUCAAGAGCAGCUGGCCGAGGAGGGCUAGUCAGAACAAGAAUAGAGGCCCACUCCACUCACCAAGCCAUGAGCCCUGGCACAGAGCUGAGUCUGGCCGAAGGAAAAGGUGACCUUUUCCUUAUUUGCUCAAAGGCAUCGCUGCCCACUGGGCUGUGCAUCGAAUGGGCUGCAUCUGUGUGAAAGGGGUACCUUGUUCUGUGUUCACUAAGGAGCCACAUGGGCUAGCAGAAGCCCUACAAGGGUAAGUGGUGGCUUGGACCAGAGUGAGGUGAUCCAGAUGGUGAGAACCAGCCCACCUGUAGGUGCAUUUUGGGGGCAGAAAUGGCAGGAGUUUGUAAUGACCCAAAUGGGAAUGAGGAUGAGAAAAGGGUCAGAGAUGAAAGCCACAUUUCUGGCAAGAACCUCUAGAGGAUGCAGGAGGGACAGACUUGGAGAGAAAGAUCAUGACUGCCCCUAGUGGUACCAUCUUGUGGCCUUCUGGUUAGAAACCAUAGGCUGGCAGCUGGGGCCCAGGCCCAGUGGACAGAGACUGAUCACAUUCCAAGUCUUUGGCACCCAACAAGGCCACAAGGGUAGAGUUUAACAUGAAAUCUGAGGGGUGAGCCAUGGGUAUUUGCUCCAUUGGUUUCAUACAUUUUAAUAUUUAAACAUUUCAGUGUUAACCAAAAAAAAAAAUGAACUAGGAAUCAAAAGGGGCUCUAAAGUACAAUUGAGUUUGCCUAGCGAGUCUAUUAUUAACCAGUCAAAAACCUAAUAGUCAAGCUGAAGGGCCAGAGGUCUGCGAUCUGUCCCCAUGCCCUCCUUCACUGUAUUCUCACUGGCGUCUGUGGUCUCCUCAGAACUCAGUGGUCUUGGUUUCCAUUCAGGCUUUUCAUCCUUCCUCACAGCCAUAAACAAUGAUAAUGAGAAUUUAUUGACAUGAAAAAAGUCAAAAUACAGCUCCAAGAAAUAAAAAACUAUAAAACAGUAGGUUUUAACUCAUUUUUGGAAAAAUAUAACUUGAAACUAAUGUACAGACAUAAGCAUGCAGAGAGAAAAGUCUGAGCGAUCAUACCAAAUGCUGGCAGCAGCUGUCUCUGGAUGGAGGACUUAACGGGUCAUUCUCUGUGCAAAAGAUGGAGCUUGGAGUGUGCUGAGGCUUCAGGCUCUUACCUUCAGAUGGUGAAAAAGAGGCUUGGGAAUCUACCUGGCUCUGCUCAGCGGGAUCUAAGAGUCCAAAGGCACCUAGCUAAGAUCACGAACUCCUAAAGUCUACUGCAGGCCUCCCACUGGCCAAACCCAAGCAGAAGCCAAGGAGGAGUCGUCUUGCUGCCAUACAGGCAUACAGGAAUUUAGCCUCCAACCCAACACUAGGGAAUACAAGGUGUAUCAUGACAAGGUCAACAGAAAUAAAUUUGUAGAGAUGAACUGCUUUGUUUGCUGCCACAAGUAUCUGAAAUGGAUCAACAAUCUACCAAAAAGAACAGAAAGAAUUACACAUGGAGCAUCUAGAGAUGCAUGCCUUAUCUCUUGGUAACUCCAAUGUCAGGCUGUUUUUACUUCAUCACAACUUCUAUGGACUAUGUUUUCAAAAUUGCUGGGUGCUCAGAAAAUCACAGAAUUUUAAAGCUGCAAGAAACUUAAAUAGUAAACAUUUUUAAAAGAAUGUUACAGGAAAAGCUAUAUUCUAAACAUUUUACGUGUAUUAUUUUAAUCCUUAAAACUACCCUGUGAAAUCGGUGUUAUUCAUAUGCAGUGGAUGAGGAAACCAAAGCAAAGAAUGUCUGGAUUUGAAUCCCAGCUCUGUCACUUACCACUGAGGGG
Long non-coding RNA from Callorhinus ursinus (northern fur seal), 1992 nucleotides. RefSeq lists it as uncharacterized. The record is from RefSeq and is a predicted model, not a curated record. Lineage: Eukaryota; Metazoa; Chordata; Mammalia; Carnivora; Otariidae.